UACGGAGGGUGCAAGCGUUACCCGGAUUCACUGGGCGUAAAGGGUGUGUAGGCGGAUAUGUUAGUCUUUUGUUAAAGACUCAGGCUUACCCUGAGGAAUGCGAGGGAAAUGGCAUAUCUUGAGGAUGCAAGGGGCUUAUGGAACUCAUAGUGUAGGGGUGAAAUCCGUUGAUAUUAUGGGGAACACCGAAAGCGAAGGCAGUAAGCUGGUGCAUUCCUGACGCUGAGACACGAAAGCCAGGGUAGCGAACGGG
This 253-nucleotide unclassified non-coding RNA is filed under the name uncultured Parcubacteria group bacterium. RNAcentral's name for it is "contains 16S-23S intergenic spacer region". It matches the Rfam family "Bacterial small subunit ribosomal RNA", at positions 524 to 776 of the family's 1533-position model. The record is from RNAcentral.